This 204-nucleotide long non-coding RNA is filed under the name Vigna radiata. Its description in RNAcentral is "long non-coding RNA (VRAD_LNC000149)". Lineage: Eukaryota; Viridiplantae; Streptophyta; Magnoliopsida; Fabales; Fabaceae. The record is from RNAcentral.
GUUAAUUAGGGAGCUUAACAACAUUUUUGUCUUACCAUAUGGAGGGUUAGGAAAAGAUUCCAAUAAAAUAAAAUUGAAUGUAAUUUCGGCCCAAUUUCGGCCCAAAAAGAGUCACAUCUUCUUCGCUUUGGACCGCGUUGUGUGAAUACGUUUUUCUAAAAAAUUUGUAUAAUUUGAGAUAAGAUAUUUAUAGUAUGUCCCACC